This is a long non-coding RNA of Panthera uncia (snow leopard), 2403 nucleotides long. RefSeq lists it as uncharacterized. The transcript has 5 exons. Lineage: Eukaryota; Metazoa; Chordata; Mammalia; Carnivora; Felidae. The record is from RefSeq and is a predicted model, not a curated record.
GUAACGACGCCAUCGCUGCCACAGGCUCCGAAGCAGGCGGCCCGGCAUGGCCGUCCCGCGGCGCUGUAACGAGGACAGCGCCGGAGAGGGUUGAUUCAUCUUGUUUCUGAUGAGUUUGGUCCUGUGAGAAAUGACUACUGGCAGAAAAAUGAAGGAUAAAAGUGGAAAUGAGUACAUAACCACAGGCUUGGAUAGAGAAAACAAUGGAGGAAAAAGAUGUAAUGAAAUGAGAAGCAAAUCAAAUCUAAGCACCUAAUUUUUGAGACCAGUUACAAAUGACAGCAUGCGAUGGAAGGAGGAAGACAAAGGCUGGGCUGAGAGAGCUCCAAAUGGGUGUAAUGGCAGAGGCAUAAGGGUACGGGGGAGACUCUCUUUCUCCUCACUCCUGGAGAUUCAGAUUUCACUGUGCGGCCCGCCGGGGAGCUGCCGGGAGAAGGACUGCGGCGGCCCUUGGGAGCUGGUGAAGUGGUGCUUGCCUGGCUUUCUCCUGGAGACUCAGCUGCCAAGCUGGAGAAGAUUCAUACUAUUCUUUUCUUCACACCCACGAACUUGGGAGAUCUACCAGGCCUAAUGUAAACUAGUUUCUGAGAACCACUGUUUACAGAGGGAGUUUAAGACCAAUAUGGUCCCAUUUCUCAUUUCUUCCUCUCCAAAAAAAACCCACGGAAGCUUCAAAAACUUUUAAUCCUGAGGCUUGUAUUCUUUUGAUAGUCAUUGCUAAAAAUUCCAGUUUAUCCCCCACUUUGUUGUGUCCUUGAUACCUGAUGAAGAACCUUUAGAAACCUUUGAGAAAAAUGGGACAUAUGAGCAUCCUCUUCCUGAAUUGUUGAUCACAGAUUAGUAAGCAAGGAAAAGGAUACUAAUACUUUAUAGUAUCGGGUAAAUGUCUAUUUCCUUUUAAGAAUUCUCCUUUGUGCUACACGACAAAUCUAGGGUUGUGUCUAAAUGACAACCAAUGGAUAAGUAUAGGGGGCUUUUACAAUACGUUACAGAAGUAGACUGGAACUCCCUACACCACUACUGGGGACAGCUUCCCACAAAGCACUGUCUCCUGUCCUCAGUCUAAGAGCACUAGUACAUAGUCCAUGGCACAAAGCAGGUAUUGGGGGGUGGGGGGAGGGAUGGCUGUUCCUUAACCACUUUGCCUUGCAUCAGAAAGAUCCCAAAUCAAUGUUAUAUGGAGGCUCUGGUAUAUGCUUUUCUUUGGAACUUCCUCCAAUGGGUGUGUUAACUACAUUUUUACCAAGUCAGUUAUUUUUCAAAAAGCAUGGCAGUUCAGUUUGAGUAUUCUUUUAAGAGAUCAAAUGAGUACGGCUAGUAAUUGGAAGACUGGACUGUUACUGUAUAUAUUCCUCUCUUUUAAGAAAAGUUGGUUUACAGUUAAAAAUGUAACUGUAUGUAAAUGUAAUUUGAGUGAAUACAUCCAUGUUGAUAAAAACCCUUGGGCUAUUUUCACUGUUCCCAGAUUAAUGGAGGAGAGUAUGAUAUAGCACCAAAUUAGAGCACAAAGCCCUCUUACAUCCUCUGCUAGGAGAAUGAUUUCUUUCAAAUGCCGCAGAACAGCUGAUACUAUUUCUAUAGUACUACUUCCUUCUAGCUGGUGGAAAGGCAUGUUAACUGGGAUGCUCAAAAUGAGGAAGAAUGACUUCCUAAUAAAUGUUGCUUUUCUUCUUUAUGCUUUUAAUGCUAGAAACCCACUCUGUUCAAUCAAUGUUGGCAUGUCUACUACAUGUAAGCUCUGGUCUAAGCAUCAGAUAUACAAAGUGGGAUAAAGAAACAAAAGAUAAAUAAGACAGGACCUCUAUCCCUCCAGGUGCUUAGUCUAGCACUUUCUCUAUGGUAGAGAAAAUAUGAGGCCAUCUCUGCAACAAUAGAAGUAUUUUAACAUACCAUAAAUAGUUGCAAGGAUGGAGUGGAUCUCCAUCCCUUAAAUUUAUCUAGGGGAAUCCUGGAAAGAUCCACAGAGAAGGUAACACCUGAAUAAUUUUAAAGGAAAGAGAAGGACUGGCAUGGAGUUGAUUAAGGCUGAAAGAUUUUCUAGACAAAAGAUCUAACUUUGGUGAAAAUAAUGUUCUAUAAAAUACCAAACAGUUUAUAACCCUACUGUUAGGAAAUAUUAGAUAAAAUGAAAUUAAAUGAGUUUAUUUAAAGACCUAUGUGCAUCUUAAUUUUCCAAAAGGGGUGAAAAAAGAAGAUACACAGCAUUCCUUACAUUGGCAUAGAAGCCCCUUUUAGCAGAACACCUUUGGUAGAGUAGUGGUUCUUGGGAUAUAUUGUGAGAAAUCUGUACUGAAUCAUCUAUAUAGUCCCUUUUGGCUCAAAUAAGUCAAUAUAUCUAAGAAGAAAAAUCUAGAGAAGAAACUAAAACUAGCUGUCUUACUAUCUUAAUGUAAGACUUCUCAA